Molecule: transfer RNA, 90 nt
Filed under: Sphingomonas sp.
Lineage: Bacteria; Pseudomonadati; Pseudomonadota; Alphaproteobacteria; Sphingomonadales; Sphingomonadaceae
Description: tRNA-Ser
Rfam family: tRNA
About the family: Transfer RNA (tRNA) molecules are approximately 80 nucleotides in length. Their secondary structure includes four short double-helical elements and three loops (D, anti-codon, and T loops). Further hydrogen bonds mediate the characteristic L-shaped molecular structure. tRNAs have two regions of fundamental functional importance: the anti-codon, which is responsible for specific mRNA codon recognition, and the 3' end, to which the tRNAs corresponding amino acid is attached (by aminoacyl-tRNA synthetases). tRNAs cope with the degeneracy of the genetic code in two manners: having more than one tRNA (with a specific anti-codon) for a particular amino acid; and 'wobble' base-pairing, i.e. permitting non-standard base-pairing at the 3rd anti-codon position.
Source: RNAcentral
GGAGAGGUGGCAGAGUGGUUGAAUGCACCGCACUCGAAAUGCGGCAUACGGGCAACCGUAUCGAGGGUUCGAAUCCCUCCCUCUCCGCCA